Molecule: ribosomal RNA, 76 nt
Filed under: Plasmodium vivax (malaria parasite P. vivax)
Lineage: Eukaryota; Apicomplexa; Aconoidasida; Haemosporida; Plasmodiidae
Description: partial 18S ribosomal RNA
Source: RNAcentral
CUAGCUUAAUCCACAUAACUGAUACUUCGUAUCGACUUUGUGCGCAUUUUGCUAUUAUGUGUCUUUUAAUAAAAGU